Molecule: ribosomal RNA, 490 nt
Filed under: uncultured bacterium
Lineage: Bacteria
Description: partial 16S ribosomal RNA
Rfam family: Bacterial small subunit ribosomal RNA
Source: RNAcentral
AUUGAACGCUGGCGGCAGGCCUAACACAUGCAAGUCGAACGGUAACAGGAAGCAGCUUGCUGCUUUGCUGACGAGUGGCGGACGGGUGAGUAAUGUCUGGGAAACUGCCCGAUGGAGGGGGAUAACUACUGGAAACGGUAGCUAAUACCGCAUAACGUCGCAAGACCAAAGAGGGGGACCUUAGGGCCUCUUGCCAUCGGAUGUGCCCAGAUGGGAUUAGCUAGUAGGUGGGGUAACGGCUCACCUAGGCGACGAUCCCUAGCUGGUCUGAGAGGAUGACCCGCCACACUGGAACUGAGACACGGUCCAGACUCCUACGGGGGGCAGCAGUGGGGAAUGUUGCACAAUGGGCGCAAGCCUGAUGCAGCCAUGCCGCGUGUAUGAAGAAGGCCUUCGGGUUGUAGAGUACUUUCUGCGGGGAGGAAGGAAGUAGAGUUAAUACCUUUGCUCAUUGACGUUACCCGCAGAAGAAGCACCGGCUAACUCCGUG